Pelobates cultripes (western spadefoot toad) is the source of this 802-nucleotide non-coding RNA. NCBI's taxonomy places the organism in Eukaryota, Metazoa, Chordata, Amphibia, Anura, Pelobatidae. The record is from the annotation of a GenBank genome assembly.
GCAAGCUAUUAACAUAGCAGGGGAUAAGAAAAUCUUAAUGAAACAACUUGCAAUAAAAAGCCUAAAUAAGGCUCUCUUUACAGGAAGUGUUUAUGGAAGGCUGUGCAAGUCACAUGCAGGGAGGUGUGACUAGGGUUCAUAAACAAAGGGAUUUAGCUCCUAAUGGCAGAGGAUUGAGCAGUGAGGCUGCAGGGGCAUGUUCUAUACACCAAAACUGCUUCAUUAAGCUAAAGUUGUUCAGGUGACUAUAGUGUCCCUUUAAGGGGACAGAGAUGCCACACUUAGAGCACUUGAAUGAGAGGAAGUGUUCUGGGUACCUACAAAAUAUAUAAAGGGGAGCAAGCAAAAAUGUACUGAUUUCACAUUACAAUCAGUGGUGCCACUUUGGUUGAUAUGUCCAUUGCCUGGUUAUGUAGACUCCAUGUAACUAUGAAGAUCACUAGAUUUGUUUAUCAGAUUUUGUGGGAGGGGAGCAGCUUGAUCCAACAAGAAUAUAGACUAAAUUGACCUCCCAUAAUCUAGGAGUAGAUGUAAACACUAAAUUGAAAAGUAGCAACAAGUUUCUUUCUUUCAUGAGCAGUUGUCCUGCAACAUAUGCUUCCUCAGCACACCUGAAAUUCGAUAUAUGUAAUCUAUAAGAAGUCUAGCAGAGAUGAAAUGCGUUGAGGGUGGAAGGAGGACUUACCAGUACUGUUAAUGCGUUUGACUAAUGACAUGGUGUUCAUUUGAUUUUGAUCACAUUUGUGAUAUUUUAAAGGGUACCUGUUCUAAAAAAUUUUUUUGUUUAAGCAAUACAAAGCCA